AACGGGGCGGGCGUGCUAUACAUGCAAGUCGAGCGGACCGACGGGAGCUUGCUCCCUUAGGUCAGCGGCGGACGGGUGAGUAACACGUGGGUAACCUGCCUGUAAGACUGGGAUAACUCCGGGAAACCGGGGCUAAUACCGGAUGCUUGAUUGAACCGCAUGGUUCAAUCAUGAAAGGCGGCUUCGGCUGCCGUUUACAGAUGGACCCGCGGCGCAUUAGCUAGUUGGUGAGGUAACGGCUCACCAAGGCGACGAUGCGUAGCCGACCUGAGAGGGUGAUCGGCCACACUGGGACUGAGACACGGCCCAGACUCCUACGGGAGGCAGCAGUAGGGAAUCUUCCGCAAUGGACGAAAGUCUGACGGAGCAACGCCGCGUGAGUGAUGAAGGUUUUCGGAUCGUAAAGCUCUGUUGUUAGGGAAGAACAAGUACCGUUCGAAUAGGGCGGUACCUUGACGGUACCUAACCAGAAAGCCACGGCUAACUACGUGCCAGCAGCCGCGGUAAUACGUAGGUGGCAAGCGUUGUCCGGAAUUAUUGGGCGUAAAGCGCGCGCAGGCGGUUUCUUAAGUCUGAUGUGAAAGCCCCCGGCUCAACCGGG
Molecule: ribosomal RNA, 601 nt
Filed under: Bacillus sp. (in: firmicutes)
Lineage: Bacteria; Bacillati; Bacillota; Bacilli; Caryophanales; Bacillaceae
Description: bacterial SSU rRNA
Rfam family: Bacterial small subunit ribosomal RNA
Source: RNAcentral